This 88-nucleotide transfer RNA is filed under the name Plenodomus lingam JN3. RNAcentral describes it as "tRNA-Glu for anticodon CUC". It matches the Rfam family "tRNA". Rfam says of the family: Transfer RNA (tRNA) molecules are approximately 80 nucleotides in length. The record is from RNAcentral. Lineage: Eukaryota; Fungi; Ascomycota; Dothideomycetes; Pleosporales; Leptosphaeriaceae.
UCCGAAAUGGUCUAGUGGCUAGGAUUUGCCGCUCUCACGUCUACAUCGUGCUGCCGGCAAGGCCGGGGUUCAAUUCCCCGUUUCGGAA